Struthio camelus australis is the source of this 2636-nucleotide non-coding RNA. The record is from RefSeq and is a predicted model, not a curated record. Lineage: Eukaryota; Metazoa; Chordata; Aves; Struthioniformes; Struthionidae.
GGCGGUGCUGUAUUUUGGGGGGUUUUCACGCUUGUGCACGCGGUUUCUUCAGGUAUUUUCCCCAAGCCACGUAUUUCCAGCGUGCCUGGAUUAUGGUACUACGCGUUAACCGCCGUGUAAUUUAGGACAGUGCAUCUUGAAAUCAUGGUUCUUCCCGUAUCACAGAAUCACAGAAUGGUUUAGGUUGGAAGGGACCUCUGGAGAUCAUCUAGUCCAACCUCCCAUGCUCCCAUGCAAACCUGUGUGCUUUGGUAUACCCUAUCUGAUCUUCUGUAAUCACCUAAAGUUGAGGAAUCUCCUAUGGAGUACAAGACCUCUAACUUAUUUCAGUUCUUUUCUGUUACCUUGUUCUUUGGACAACAGUCUUGGGUUGUUCUGUAGUUGGUUUGCCCUUUGCUCUCUUCAAGAGAGCUCUUCAAGGUCUCUCCAGAUGAGAUCAAAGCGUCUGCAGUGCUGCAUGAUAUUGGCUCUGGCAUUGAGAGGUCUGGGAAAAAUGCAGCACUCCAUCUCUGUACCACUGCAAAGGAUAAGGUCACCUAAGACCUCAAAGUCUUACCCAUUAUUGUUUCCGAUGACCUACUAAAGACAAAGGACUACUGCCUAGUUGCUACUUUUCCAUGAAGAGCCUCUGCUAAUUAAGGAACCUGCAAUCCACCUGGGCACUCUUCACAUACUCUCAGAAGGCAGAUGCAACAAAGGAGUUGUUAGAAAGAAAGUCCUCUUUUGUAUAGCCCACCAAGUACUUAAAAUGCAAUCCAGUGCUUUACACAAGCAUAAUCAAGUUAAACUAUUUUUUCCAGUAGUUACUGUUUUCCUAGCUAGUCUUACACUAAGUUUGACAUCUAAACUUAUCAACCCGUAAAGCUACCUAAUAAGUGUGAAGACACUGAACUUUAAAGAAAAUUUUAGAUUCAGAAGAUUUGGAGAUGCUCACAUCCAUUUGUCUGCUGUUAUAGCUGGAAUGAAUGAUACAAGAUUUUAUAUUAGAAGAAGGCCUUGCGUUUGGACAGCUAUAGAAUGCCAAGGCGAAAGGUAGAAGCUGUAAUGAACAAAUCUAAUCUAUGGGUGGAAAUACGCAGAAGAUAUACCAAGGGCACAGCGAAAACAAGGACUGUCAGGUAUAUCUGGAUUUCUUUAGCAACCGCUUGAACUUCCUGGAGUACUUUGUUCCAGAUCCACCACUUGCUGUGAAAGGCAUCAAUCACACACCAGUUCUGAUGCUCUUUCUCAUAAGAAUUAACACCAUUUCUACUGAGGAUAAAGAAAAUUAUUUUAUUCCUCCGUGAAUUAAGAAACACUUAUAUUGUCUGGCGAACAGUAGAAGAUAUCCUGGGAAUAUUGUACUCAGCAGAAGUCAUGCCCAAAUGAAGAAAACAGAAAAGAACAUCAAUACUUACAUUGUGGUGAAAUGCAAAAACCACAAUAAGACAAGCCAAAAAAGCUUUGUUAAAAUAGAAAUACAUCAGGAAGCCUUUUCAAACACAUCAGGAAGCCUGCUAGAAAGUCUAUAGUGCCGAGGGAUAACUGAGAUGUAAGAAGAGCACUAAAGGCAGAAAUGGUCAUUGCAGAAAUGCUACAUGAAUUCCUUGCACCACUCUUCGCUAAGGAAGAACUUAGCAAUCUUCACAUCCUGUUAGUGAAAAAAAAAGCCUGAGAAAAUAAUAGUAUUUGCUAAUAAAAGCUCUCCUCUGAGAAAUCUGAAGUGGAACUCACCUUUACUUAUUAGGAGCCAUAUUGAUGUCUAUACCUCAGGAUUCAUAGCACAGGUAUUUGCCACUUGAGUUAUCAGAGUAACAGCUUACAGGGUGAGCUUAGUACAGCAGUACAAGUUCAUCACUAGAAUGCACCUUUUCCACUGAGGUUUCCAACUUGCAUCAGGAAAUACAGAAUCAAAGAAAUACCUGAACUCUCAUGUAUUAUAUGCAUUUUCAGAGACACAAUCUCUGGCACAAGCAGUUCAUAUAACCUAUUGAUAUCAUAUGGGCCUUGUCCCAAACUCCGUUGCAUUAACUUACUGUGCAUCAGCUGCUCUCUAGUAACUUAUCUUCAGGCCUUUUCUGAUAGUAUACGUGAAGUACUAUAUCUCACUUCUUUAGGAAGUUAGGAACCUUGAAUACAUUGCAUAUGUGCAACUGUAAAUAUCUGCAUAGCAUUUUCAAAUUAUUUCAGGUGGGAGACUGUGCAGCUGCAACAACACUGAGAGUGUGGCUUAGCACUCUCACAUUUCUGUGCAGGUUGGGAACAUAGUUGGAAAUACAGGCACAUACACUAAACUGUGCCUGUGAAGUAAGCCUAUGGGAGAUACAGAUCAACUCAAUAGCACACGCUCAGGGAAUCCAGGGUGAAAUAGCAGUACUGCGCUAGAGCAGUGUGUUUGAUUUUUUAUGGCUGUAUUCAGUCUCUCCAUCUAGUUGCCUUUUGUCCGGGACUUUCCAGAAGACUGCCUGUUGUCUAACAACACAGUUGCUUUGCUUGGGCUGCUAGGUAUCUAAAACUUCUGUACAAAUUAACUGCACUGAGCGGUGCUAACGUGGAAGAAGCAGAGCAGGAGAGGAGCGCUAAAGUCUCUUCAGUUCCCAUGGUAAAUCUGAGAAAGCUGAGAAAGUGUCAGGCUGUGGCUCCUGGCUCCCAUUAUC